Punica granatum (pomegranate) is the source of this 488-nucleotide non-coding RNA. The record is from RefSeq and is a predicted model, not a curated record. Lineage: Eukaryota; Viridiplantae; Streptophyta; Magnoliopsida; Myrtales; Lythraceae.
ACAGAGCACUUGAGAGGGAGAGAGAAAUAGGAGAACAGGCGAGAGAGAGUGAGGGAGAGCGAGAGUGAGUUUCGUUGAAGGUUCGUGAGGUAGCUGCAAGAAGAGCCAGAGAUGUUAGGUUGCUAAUUAGUUCGGGAGCUGAGAGACCAAGACUAUACACCCGGAAGGCUCAACUCAUUGAGUUAUCAUUUUGGGGUCUUUGGGACCACUGAUUCGGCAGUAUAUAAAUAGGACACCUAGACCGCUGAUCCAGGGGAUACAAAAAGGAUGCCUAGACCGCUGAUUCGACGGGAUAUAAAAUGGAUGCCUAGACUCCUACUGCUGAAGUGUGUAACCUCACAUUUUUUUUAUACAUGUACAUGCAUACUAUGCACACAUAUAUAUAUCUCAAGGAAAUCUAUGGGCUGAGGCCAUUAAGCCCACAAGGCCUCCAAUAUCCUUAAGCCCAUAAUAUUUUAUUUGUAAUUAAUUUUUUUUAUUUUUCCUUC